GACGAACGCUGGCGGCGUGCCUAAUACAUGCAAGUCGAGCGCAGGAAACUGACGGAACUCUUCGGAGGGAAGGCAGUGGAAUGAGCGGCGGACGGGUGAGUAACACGUAAGGAACCUGCCUCAAGGAUUGGGAUAACUCCGAGAAAUCGGAGCUAAUACCGGAUAGUUCAUCGGACCGCAUGGUCCGUUGAUGAAAGGCGCUCCGGCGUCACCUUGAGAUGGCCUUGCGGUGCAUUAGCUAGUUGGCGGGGUAACGGCCCACCAAGGCGACGAUGCAUAGCCGACCCGAGAGGGUGAUCGGCCACACUGGGACUGAGACACGGCCCAGACUCCUACGGGAGGCAGCAGUAGGGAAUCUUCCACAAUGGACGAAAGUCUGAUGGAGCAACGCCGCGUGAGUGAUGAAGGUUUUCGGAUCGUAAAACUCUGCUGUAAGGGAAGAACACGUACGAGAGGAAAUGCUCGUACCUUGACGGUACCUUACGAGAAAGCCACGGCUAACUACGUGCCAGCAGCCGCGGUAA
Molecule: ribosomal RNA, 524 nt
Filed under: uncultured bacterium
Lineage: Bacteria
Description: partial 16S ribosomal RNA
Rfam family: Bacterial small subunit ribosomal RNA
Source: RNAcentral